This 510-nucleotide ribosomal RNA is filed under the name Chromohalobacter sp. RNAcentral's name for it is "bacterial SSU rRNA". It matches the Rfam family "Bacterial small subunit ribosomal RNA", at positions 397 to 899 of the family's 1533-position model. Lineage: Bacteria; Pseudomonadati; Pseudomonadota; Gammaproteobacteria; Oceanospirillales; Halomonadaceae. The record is from RNAcentral.
CCGCGUGUGUGAAGAAGGCUUUCGGGUUGUAAAGCACUUUCAGUGGGGAAGAAGGCUUGUCGGCCAAUACCCGGCAAGAGCGACAUCACCCACAGAAGAAGCACCGGCUAACUCCGUGCCAGCAGCCGCGGUAAUACGGAGGGUGCAAGCGUUAAUCGGAAUUACUGGGCGUAAAGCGCGCGUAGGCGGCUUGUCACGCCGGGUGUGAAAGCCCCGGGCUCAACCUGGGAACGGCAUCCGGAACGGGCAGGCUAGAGUGCAGGAGAGGAAGGUAGAAUUCCCGGUGUAGCGGUGAAAUGCGUAGAGAUCGGGAGGAAUACCAGUGGCGAAGGCGGCCUUCUGGACUGACACUGACGCUGAGGUGCGAAAGCGUGGGUAGCAAACAGGAUUAGAUACCCUGGUAGUCCACGCCGUAAACGAUGUCGACUAGCCGUUGGGUCCCUUGAGGACUUAGUGGCGCAGUUAACGCGAUAAGUCGACCGCCUGGGGAGUACGGCCGCAAGGUUAAAA